RNAcentral lists this ribosomal RNA (435 nucleotides) under uncultured bacterium. Its description in RNAcentral is "bacterial SSU rRNA". It matches the Rfam family "Bacterial small subunit ribosomal RNA", at positions 957 to 1393 of the family's 1533-position model. The record is from RNAcentral.
UAACGCGAAGAACCUUACCAGGGCUUGACAUGUAGGGAAAAGCCGUGGAGACACGGUGUCCGCAAGGGCCCUACACAGGUGUUGCAUGGCUGUCGUCAGCUCGUGUCGUGAGAUGUUGGGUUAAGUCCCGCAACGAGCGCAACCCUUGUCCUAUGUUGCCAGCGGUUCAAGCCGGGGACUCAUAGGAGACUGCCGGGGUCAACUCGGAGGGAGGUGGGGACGACGUCAAGUCAUCAUGGCCCUUAUGUCCUGGGCUGCAAACAUGCUACAAUGGCCGGUACAGAGGGCUGCAAACCCGCGAGGGGGAGCCAAUCCCAAAAAGCCGGUCUCAGUUCGGAUCGGGGUCUGCAACUCGACCCCGUGAAGUCGGAGUCGCUAGUAAUCGCGGAUCAGCAACGCCGCGGUGAAUACGUUCCCGGGUCUUGUACACACCGA